This is a long non-coding RNA of Saccostrea cuccullata (small rock oyster), 254 nucleotides long. RefSeq lists it as uncharacterized. The transcript is spliced from 3 exons. The record is from RefSeq and is a predicted model, not a curated record. Lineage: Eukaryota; Metazoa; Mollusca; Bivalvia; Ostreida; Ostreidae.
CAGUUAGACUUGAAGGGAAAGGAAAACAAAAAAUGAAAAUCAUACAACUGAAAAGUUUGAACUUAAAACAACAGACAACGUACUAUUAUUUUCCUGACCACCUACCAGAUCUUGGAAAUGAUACUUGUGGAUAUAUCAAAAUUAAAGACAAUGUGGACGAAAAAAAGAAGAUUAUUGUGAAAUGCUGGUUUCUUGACAAAGAUACCCCAAGACUGCGAGAGGAAAGACCAAGAUUAUUAAUCAUUUUUGCAGAC